GACCGGCCGAGUGAGGGAGGUGGGGAAGAGAGAAGACCCAGCCGGUGGGCUAGCCACCGGACUGGGCGGACGGAACCGCAGGGCCGGCAGGCCGCGGUCCCGCGCCGGCGACGCCACCGGAGGCCGUUUUCCGGUGAUUCCCUAUGGCGCUUCAUAUCAUCAUCCUCAUAGCGGGCGUACCCAUAGGGGUCGCUACCUAUGAUGAUUCACAGUUCUGGCCCAUUGAUGCCGAUCAGUGGGUUUAUGUUUGUUUUGAUAGCCCGUGAUCAUAACGUUUAGUCAGGGAUUUAUUUUGUUUAUGUAUAGUAAUGACACUGCUAGUCCGGACCAGUUUGGAGAUAGUAGAAGUUACCUCCAAGAAGUAGUUCGAAGACCGGAUUAGUUUUUUUUGUAUAUGAUCAGUGUUUUAUUUUGUGAUCCCUGGCUGUUUGUAUUAGCUGAAAUAUUACGAAGACUUAUAACAUAUGUGAAAUUAUGGGUAUUAAUCUA
Long non-coding RNA from Alnus glutinosa, 489 nucleotides. RefSeq lists it as uncharacterized. The transcript has 2 exons. The record is from RefSeq and is a predicted model, not a curated record. NCBI's taxonomy places the organism in Eukaryota, Viridiplantae, Streptophyta, Magnoliopsida, Fagales, Betulaceae.